AUGAAUUCUCAUAUCUUGAGGAGAGUCCAACAUAAUGCCUUGCAUGAAAAGGCAUCUGAUAAAAACACAACAAGCAGGUGUAACAGAAAUAACAAAAGGAAAUUCUUCUCUCUAAUUAGCAGUUUUCUGGAAAACUCCUUUGAAUCCAAGUUACCUCAUUGGACAUCUCAUUUGGUUUUAAGAAUUUGGUACGCAGAAAACAGUUACUUUUUCAACAGUUAUCUUAAUUAUUUCAAAAAGACAAAGCCCCCCUCACUCGCCGCAGACGGUCUGCUUUGCCGCGUGCUUCGACUACCCACAGUCCUUCGCCAGAUGAGACCAGUGUUUAGGGCACUGGCUCCUCAUCUCACUCCGGCUUAUGCCAAAGAUGUAAAAUUUGGUGCAGAUGCCCGAGCCUUAAUGCUUCAAGGUGUAGACCUUUUAGCCGACGCUGUAGCUGUUACAAUGGGGCCAAAGGGAAGAACGGUAAUUAUUGAACAGAGUUGGGGAAGUCCCAAAGUAACAAAAGAUGGUGUGACUGUUGCAAAGUCAAUUGAUUUAAAGGAUAAAUACAAAAAUAUUAGAGCUAAACUUGUUCAAGAUGUUGCCAAUAAUACAAAUGAAGAGGCCGGGGAUGGCACCACCACUGCUACUGUACUGGCACAUUCUAUUGCCAAAGAAGGCUUCGAGAAGAUUAGCAAGGGUGCUAAUCCUGUGGAAAUCAGGAGAGGUGUGAUGUUAGCUGUUGAUGCUGUAAUUGCUGAACUCAAGAAGCAGUCUAAACCUGUGACAACUCCUGAAGAAAUUGCUCAGGUUGCUACCAUUUCUGCAAAUGGAGACAAAGAAAUUGGCAACAUUAUUUCUGAUGCAAUGAAAAAGGUUGGAAGAAAGGGUGUGAUUACAGUAAAGGAUGGAAAAACACUUGAGGAUGAAUUAGAAAUUAUUGAAGGCAUGAAGUUUGAUAGAGGUUAUAUCUCUCCGUACUUUAUUAAUACAUCAAAAGGUCAGAAAUGUGAAUUCCAGGAUGCUUAUGUUCUGUUGAGUGAAAAGAAAAUUUCUAGCGUCCAGUCCAUUGUACCUGCUCUUGAAAUUGCCAAUGCUCACCGUAAACCGUUGGUCAUAAUUGCUGAAGAUGUUGAUGGAGAAGUUCUAAGUACACUUGUUUUGAAUAGGCUGAAAGUUGGUCUUCAGGUUGUGGCAGUUAAAGCUCCAGGUUUUGGUGACAACAGAAAGAACCAACUUAAAGAUAUGGCUAUUGCUACUGGUGGUGCAGUGUUUGGUGAGGAGGGUUUGACCCUAAAUAUUGAAGAUGUUCAGCCUCAUGAUUUAGGAAAAGUUGGAGAGGUCAUUGUCACCAAAGAUGAUGCCAUGCUUUUGAAAGGAAAAGGUGAUAAAGCUCAAAUUGAAAAGCAUAUUCAAGAAAUUACAGAGCAAUUAGAAAUGACAAAUAGUGAAUAUGAAAAGGAAAAACUGAAUGAACGACUGGCAAAACUUUCAGAUGGAGUAGCUGUGCUCAAGGUUGGUGGGACAAGUGAAUGAAAAGAAAGACAGAGUUACAGAUGCCCUCAAUGCUACGAGAGCUGCCGUUGAAGAAGGCAUUGUUCUGGGUGGGGGCUGUGCUCUGCUUCGGUGCAUUCCAGCCUUGGACUCACUAACUCCAGCUAAUGAAGAUCAGAAAAUUGGUAUAGAAAUCAUUAAAAGAACACUCAAAAUUCCUGCAAUGACUAUUGCUAAGAAUGCAGGUGUUGAAGACUCUUUAAUAGUGGAGAAAAUUCUGCAGAGUUCCUCAGAAGUUGGCUAUGAUGCUAUGCUUGGAGAUUUUGUGAAUAUGGUAGAAAAAGGAAUCAUUGAUCCAACAAAGGUUGUAAGAACUGCCUUAUUGGAUGCUGCUGGAGUUGCUUCUCUGUUAACUACAGCAGAAGUCGUAGUCACAGAAAUUCCUAAAGAAGAAAAGGACCCUGCAAUGGGUGGAAUGGGUGGAAUGGGAGGUGGUAUGGGUGGUGGCAUGUUCUAAUUCUCAGAAUAGUGCUUUACCAUUAUUAAUGAACUGUGACAGGAAGCUCAAGGCAGGGUUCCUCACCAAUAACUUCAGAGAAGUCAGUUGAAGAGAAUGACUGAAGAAAAGGCUGGUUGAUGUUUAAGAAAAUCACUAUCACCAUCAGUUACUGGUUUCAGUUGACAGUAUAUAAUGGUUUACUGCUGUCAUUGUCCAUGCCUACAAAUAAUUUAUUUUGUAUUUUUGAAUAAAGACAUUUGUACAUUCCUGA
Non-coding RNA from Marmota flaviventris (yellow-bellied marmot), 2246 nucleotides. The record is from RefSeq and is a predicted model, not a curated record. NCBI's taxonomy places the organism in Eukaryota, Metazoa, Chordata, Mammalia, Rodentia, Sciuridae.